RNAcentral lists this transfer RNA (77 nucleotides) under bacterium. RNAcentral's name for it is "tRNA-Asp". It matches the Rfam family "tRNA". From Rfam's summary of the family: Transfer RNA (tRNA) molecules are approximately 80 nucleotides in length. Their secondary structure includes four short double-helical elements and three loops (D, anti-codon, and T loops). Further hydrogen bonds mediate the characteristic L-shaped molecular structure. tRNAs have two regions of fundamental functional importance: the anti-codon, which is responsible for specific mRNA codon recognition, and the 3' end, to which the tRNAs corresponding amino acid is attached (by aminoacyl-tRNA synthetases). tRNAs cope with the degeneracy of the genetic code in two manners: having more than one tRNA (with a specific anti-codon) for a particular amino acid; and 'wobble' base-pairing, i.e. permitting non-standard base-pairing at the 3rd anti-codon position. The record is from RNAcentral. RNAcentral also lists the same sequence under 12 other names.
GGCCAGGUAGUUCAGCUGGUUAGAACGCCGGCCUGUCACGCCGGAGGUCGAGGGUUCGAACCCCUUCCUGGUCGCCA